RNAcentral lists this ribosomal RNA (477 nucleotides) under uncultured bacterium. RNAcentral describes it as "partial 16S ribosomal RNA". It matches the Rfam family "Bacterial small subunit ribosomal RNA", at positions 30 to 507 of the family's 1533-position model. The record is from RNAcentral.
AUUGAACGCUGGCGGCAUGCCUUACACAUGCAAGACGAACGGUAACAGGUUAAGCUGACGAGUGGCGAACGGGUGAGUAAUGUAUCGGAACGUGCCCAGUCGUGGGGGAUAACUGCUCGAAAGAGCAGCUAAUACCGCAUACGACCUGAGGGUGAAAGCGGGGGAUCGCAAGACCUCGCGCGAUUGGAGCGGCCGAUAUCAGAUUAGGUAGUUGGUGAGGUAAAGGCUCACCAAGCCGACGAUCUGUAGCUGGUCUGAGAGGACGACCAGCCACACUGGGACUGAGACACGGCCCAGACUCCUACGGGAGGCAGCAGUGGGGAAUUUUGGACAAUGGGCGCAAGCCUGAUCCAGCCAUGCCGCGUGCGGGAAGAAGGCCUUCGGGUUGUAAACCGCUUUUGUCAGGGAAGAAAAGGUUCUGGCUAAUACCUGGGACUCAUGACGGUACCUGAAGAAUAAGCACCGGCUAACUACGUG